This is a long non-coding RNA of Micropterus salmoides (largemouth bass), 1640 nucleotides long. RefSeq lists it as uncharacterized. The transcript is spliced from 2 exons. The record is from RefSeq and is a predicted model, not a curated record. NCBI's taxonomy places the organism in Eukaryota, Metazoa, Chordata, Actinopteri, Centrarchiformes, Centrarchidae.
AUCCAUCACCAAGACGCACGCAAAGCCUAGAUACCUUGAUGGAAGUGAGAUGAAAACAAGGCCUUCCAGCAUUCCCAAACAUCCUGCUCAAGUCAUGUCCAAUGGAUGCUCAUUCCUCCAAUAGGUGAUUCAUCUGCGUGUUGACAGACAAGACAAGCAGGAGAGAUGAAGACACCUGUGAAGGGAGGAGCUGCAGGAUUUCAUAGCAUGACUAUCUUUGCAGCAAGUUGGUGAUCAUCACUGCUAAGGAAAAGCACAGGAGCGAGUUCAGUCUCAAAAUAUUUUGCACCGGUUUGGAACGUUUUCGGACUGAACAACAUGUUUCCUUGCAACAUUCCGCAACAGGCUUCGAUGUAUGUUUUCUUCUGCUUUGUGGGUGUGUCACAGGUGUUACCCAAUCAGCUGCGACAAGUUUGUAAACACAACGGUGUUAAAAAGGCAGGGAAAUGCAGUGCACUGGCGUACACAACAGGGUAUUCGAGGCACUACCAUUUCCAUUGAAAAAAAACAUGUAGCUACAUUUUGUCAGCGCUGAACUCGCCCCUAGUGUAACUAAUAACAUUAAUGAUGGCUGCAUUCCAUUUAGCUGUGCCAGUAAGCCAUGCCAGUGAGCCAUAGUAUGCAUGGCAUCAGGACCCUGGAACUGGAAUGCAGCCAUUAUAAUUGUCAUUGGUAACACCUGUGUCCACCAUAAGAAACAUUUGUCAGCAGUACAUUUGUUGGACAGGUAAGCUAAUCUAGUUAACAUUAGCAAAAGUCAGUUUGUCAGAACCACAGCACAGUUGCAUUAAAAGCAUCCAGUAGUACACUGUAUACUGUAUCUUGUUUGCUAACUUUUAGCUAAGUUUACUUAUGUGGCUCCACAUCAGUCACUUUGUAUUUGGAAGAGAUGUGAAUUCUUGUCAGUGUAAAAAAGAUUAACCCCAAGUAUAUAUUGGAACUGUCCGCAUGGAGUCAUUUAAGAGGUCUUGAUUUUAAUGACUGUGAAUGUUUUGUAUUUAUAAAAGACUUUUUAUUGGGAUUAUGGUGUAGACAUGAACAUAUCGCUCCACGCAGGUACCAGUGGCGUCCACCAGUGGGCAGUAUAGUUUCUGCCACUAGGUUAAACUAACCCCUGCAAAGUGUAGAUAAACCCCGUACUUACCAGUUUACGGUUGUCGCAAACCCACAAAUGAAGGACGAGCAAGCAGACAAGGGCACACAGUAAAGACGCCAAACUCAGAUAAGUAAGAAAGGAAAUUGACAGGUUUCGGUUUGGGAAACGGAACGAGGUGUGUAUGUUUUCGGUGUUGCGGGAGUGAAAUGUUCAUGUUUAUUGUUGUAAGUAGUUUAGCUAUGUAUUGACGAAGAGCCAUUUAGCUUUGAUGUAUUAAUCCAGUGUGUGAUUUAAAGGUUAUUGUGUAUAUAUAGGUAUUGGUACAAAAUGACUGUUUAAUUUGUGUAUUUAAUUAGUUUUAUUGUUUUAGUAUGUUUGAUUUUAACUAAGGUAAUGUGUACAAAAGUACUUAUGUUUAUAUCUAUUUGUAUAUUUUUAUAGUUUUCACAGUGCAAUACGGUUACGGAGAAAGAAAUAAAGUAACCAUAAAGACAUCAGUCGAGACACCGAGGGCAGUUACAUAUAUAAUAAAAUAUUAUUAUGA